CGAAUCUCCAGGCAAUCCGAUGAAAAUAGCCAGGGACUUCCACUCUGCCUAAAAGCUCUUGUCUGCAAAGAAGCUGGGGCGAAGCACGCAGAAUGCUAGGAAGUUGGAUCCUGCAGAAUCUUUAUGAUAUUCACAUUAAUCCGCAAAUGAAGAAUAAACAAACAGGGCGAUGUGGUCAGGAUUUCAAACAUGGAGCAAGAAUUUGGGACUGGCAUGGGAGCCCACUUUGAACAAAUGAAGAACAUGAUCUGGCUUCUCGUUUAAAAGGAAGACAGUUCAUGCUGCUGAGAAUAAACUCUAGGGGACAAAACAGAAGCAAGUGACUGGGCAAGAGACUACUGCAAUAAUUCAGGUUUCAGGACUUCCCUUACACACCACAUGAUCUAACACACUGUCGCGAGGAUCUUUUGAGGAACAGCCAGCUAGGUUAUGCCAGGCAAGAGUAAAAAUGACCCAAAAUUGCACCAUGGUUACGUCAGAAGUCUCAGACAACAGAAUAUCAUGCAGGCUACUAAACACAAGAGUUCUGAAUCUAUGAAGUAGCGAGGAGGCUUCCGGACUGCUCCCCCGCCCACCGGACAUCCUGGCUGAGCUCCCUCAUGGCACGUCU
This is a long non-coding RNA of Homo sapiens (human), 610 nucleotides long. Lineage: Eukaryota; Metazoa; Chordata; Mammalia; Primates; Hominidae. The record is from Ensembl.